AAAAGAACUUUGAAGAGAGAGUUCAAAAGGGCGUGAAACCGCUUAGAAGAAAACGGACGGAACCGUCUGAGGCCCUCGGGAAUCAGUGGAACGACGCGCGAACGCGUUCAGGGUUUUCGGAGCGUAAAAGUCCGUCUCUGAGCGUCUAGUAGUCGUGUUCGUUUGGCGCAUUUCUCGAGGGUUAGCGUCGCGACCGAUGCGAAAGGCCGGUGAGGCCGCCAGGUUGAGGUCGAAACCCCUCGCGGGUAUUCGCUACCAGCUUGACGGUAACUAAUCGCUGGACCGUAGUAGGCAUCGAGCGUCAAGAUCGAAUGUCGGCGUAAUAGCGCUCAUCGAUCAGCGGAGAGUUGUCCUAUUUGUCGACGCCUGCUCGCAGGCGAUCGAUUAAUUCUUGGGCGAUUUCAAAGUUGACGAUGACGUACCGGCAUUUUGGCGUCGGCGACGUCCGAGUCGGUCACCCGUCCGACCCGUCUUGAAACACGGACCAAGGAGUCUAACGUACGCGCGAGCUAAUGAGUGGAAAACUCAUAAGCGCAAUAAAAGUAAAUGCCGUCGUUAGAUGGUUGAGGUACGAUCCAGGGUACGUGUACCUUGGCGCAGUACCGUCCCGUUCCGAUCGCAUGUCGGUAGGGCGGAGAUAGAGUGCAUACGUUGGGACCCGAAAGAUGGUGAACUAUGCCUGAGCAGAGCGAAGCCAGAGGAAACUCUGGUGGAGGUUCGUAGCGGUUCUGACGUGCAAAUCGAUCGUCAGACUUGGGUAUAGGGGCGAAAGACUAAUCGAACC
This 784-nucleotide ribosomal RNA is filed under the name Xiphinema simile. Its description in RNAcentral is "partial large subunit ribosomal RNA". It matches the Rfam family "Eukaryotic large subunit ribosomal RNA", at positions 367 to 941 of the family's 3401-position model. Lineage: Eukaryota; Metazoa; Nematoda; Enoplea; Dorylaimida; Longidoridae. The record is from RNAcentral.